RNAcentral lists this ribosomal RNA (449 nucleotides) under uncultured bacterium. RNAcentral's name for it is "partial 16S ribosomal RNA". It matches the Rfam family "Bacterial small subunit ribosomal RNA", at positions 28 to 523 of the family's 1533-position model. The record is from RNAcentral.
GAUGAACGCUGGCGGCAGGCCUAACACAUGCAAGUCGAACGGAUCCUUCGGGAUUAGUGGCGGACGGGUGAGUAACGCGUGGGAACAUACCCUUUGGUACGGAAUAGCCUCGGGAAACUGGGAGUAAUACCGUAUGUGGUCGAGAGACGAAAGAUUUAUCGCCAAAGGAUUGGCCCGCGUUGGAUUAGGUAGUUGGUGGGGUAAUGGCCUACCAAGCCGACGAUCCAUAGCUGGUUUGAGAGGAUGAUCAGCCACACUGGGACUGAGACACGGCCCAGACUCCUACGGGAGGCAGCAGUGGGGGAUCUUAGACAAUGGGGGAAACCCUGAUCUAGCCAUGCCGCGUGAUCGAUGAAGGCCUUAGGGUUGUAAAGAUCUUUCAGGUGGGAAGAUAAUGACUGUACCACCAGAAGAAGCCCCGGCUAACUCCGUGCCAGCCGCCGCGGUAA